RNAcentral lists this ribosomal RNA (345 nucleotides) under uncultured bacterium. Its description in RNAcentral is "partial 16S ribosomal RNA". It matches the Rfam family "Bacterial small subunit ribosomal RNA", at positions 338 to 675 of the family's 1533-position model. The record is from RNAcentral.
CCUACGGGUGGCAGCAGUGGGGAAUAUUGCGCAAUGGGCGAAAGCCUGACGCAGCGACGCCGCGUGAGGGAUGAAGGUCUUCGGAUCGUAAACCUCUGUCAGCAGGGAAGGAAGGUCAAUGUGCUAAUCAGCAGUGAAUUGACGUACCCUGCAAGGGAAGCACCGGCUAACUCCGUGACAGCAGCCGCGGUAAUACGGAGGGGGCGAGCGUUACUCGGAAUUACUGGGCGUAAAGCGCUAGUAGGCGGGAUGUCAAGUCAAGGGUGAACUCCCCGCGCGCAACGUGGGAACUGCCUGUGACAGUGGGCAACAGGAGUGUGUUAGAGGAUAGUGGAAUGCGAGGUG